CCUCUUGUUUCUCAUUGGUUUGUGAUCUGUCCCCGCCCCUUGUUCCUCCCCCAAAUUUAAGGUGCGCUCAUCCCUGUUUUGGGAGCUCUCCUGGAGCAGUGCCCAUUAAGCUGAAGGUUCCUGAGAGGAUUCAAUAAACCUUGGACUUUGCCCUUCAUGAGGGCCUCACUCCUGCUUCCUCCAUUGUUGCUGCCGUCUCUUCCAAUAAGCCACUCCCCUGAUUCCCAGGAUUCAGAGGGGUGUCCCCUGCAAGGUCGGCAGUGUCGAGUCAGCCCAGAAAGCAAGAAGUUGCAAGAUCGAAUUCCAGUGUCAGAUUUCCUCCUUUGCCUUCUACAUUCUGGAACAUAUUUUAGCUAAUGAAAAUGGACAUCCUCAUGACAGCAAAAGCUGAUAGGUUCAGAGACAACUGUAGAUUUUGCAAGACUCACAUGUUGUGACACCAGAUUUUCAGAAGCCUUAAGAAAGUAGAAGACAAGGAAGUCCUGAAAUAAAUAAGUACUCAAUAUUGAAGUAUGUUGAUUG
RNAcentral lists this long non-coding RNA (522 nucleotides) under Parus major (Great Tit). Its description in RNAcentral is "lncRNA (ENSPMJG00000008700.1)". Lineage: Eukaryota; Metazoa; Chordata; Aves; Passeriformes; Paridae. The record is from RNAcentral.